GAUGAACGCUGGCGGCGUGCCUAAUACAUGCAAGUCGAACGCGCAGCGAAAGGUGCUUGCACCUUUCAAGCGAGUGGCGAACGGGUGAGUAACACGUGGAUAACCUGCCUCAAGGCUGGGGAUAACAUUUGGAAACAGAUGCUAAUACCGAAUAAAACUUAGUAUCGCAUGAUACAAAGUUAAAAGGCGCUACGGCGUCACCUAGAGAUGGAUCCGCGGUGCAUUAGUUAGUUGGUGGGGUAAAGGCUUACCAAGACGAUGAUGCAUAGCCGAGUUGAGGGACGGAUCGGCCACAUUGGGACUGAGACACGGCCCAAACUCCUACGGGAGGCUGCAGUAGGGAAUCUUCCACAAUGGGCGCAAGCCUGAUGGAGCAACGCCGCGUGUGUGAUGAAGGCUUUCGGGUCGUAAAGCACUGUUGUAUGGGAAGAAAUGCUAAAAUAGGGAAUGAUUUUAGUUUGACGGUACCAUACCAGAAAGGGACGGCUAAAUACGUGCCAGCCGCCGCCGUAA
This 513-nucleotide ribosomal RNA is filed under the name uncultured bacterium. Its description in RNAcentral is "partial 16S ribosomal RNA". It matches the Rfam family "Bacterial small subunit ribosomal RNA", at positions 28 to 523 of the family's 1533-position model. The record is from RNAcentral.